RNAcentral lists this long non-coding RNA (607 nucleotides) under Mytilus galloprovincialis (Mediterranean mussel). Lineage: Eukaryota; Metazoa; Mollusca; Bivalvia; Mytilida; Mytilidae. The record is from RNAcentral.
CAAUAAUGGGAUAUGUAAGUGCAGAGCCACGCUCUUGUAUCGAAGUAACACCGGAAACAUGUAAACAAAGCACAUUAGCAAAAAAAAGUGAAGAAUAUGAGAAUUAUCAUAAACUAUAACAUAAUGACAGGAUGUACAAGUACCACAAGUAACUUAAUCACAAUAAUACAAACAAACAUCCAACAAAGAAGCACUAACGGCACCCAUCAAAUCAAACAACCCCACUCACAGCCCUCUAUUUUGGAAUUAUAUUUCUAUCUGUUAAAUCCACCCAUGAAAGAUUGAAAGACCUUAAGCACCGGGACCGAAUGACCAGGUGUACAUCAACUCUGACGUAGAAUCCUGCGCUUGACGCCAGAGUGUAAACGUCACACAGGUAGAGAUCUAACAUAAUUUGGACACAAUAGAACAACAACACAAUAGCGGGAUGAACAAGUCCAGAGUCACGUCAAAUGUAUCAAAGAAGACAAAAUGUCACACGGACAAAGCAAAAAUGAAAGAUGAUACAAACACAAUAACGGGAUGCAUAAGUACAGAGCCACGUCAAAUGGAUAUCUCCAAAAACAGAUCAAACAGUAAAAAUAAUAUUUAUAAAGACAGACACAAG